AGAAUCAACGCUGGCGGCGUGCCUAACACAUGCAAGUCGAACGAGAAAGUGGAGCAAUCCAUGAGUAAAGUGGCGCACGGGUGAGUAACACGUGACUAACCUACCUUUUAGUGGGGGAUAACCUAGGGAAACCUGGGCUAAUACCGCAUAAUACCUACGGGUCAAAGCAGCAAUGCGCUGAAAGAGGGGGUCGCGGUCGAUUAGUUAGUUGGCAGGGUAAUGGCCUACCAAGACUGUGAUCGAUAUCCGGCCUGAGAGGGCGCACGGACACACUGGAACUGAAACACGGUCCAGACUCCUACGGGAGGCAGCAGUGGGAAUUUUGCGCAAUGGGGGAAACCCUGACGCAGCAACGCCGCGUGGAGGAUGAAGUCCCUUGGGACGUAAACUCCUUUCGAUCGGGACGAUAAUGACGGUACCGGAAGAAGAAGCCCCGGCUAACUUCGCGCCAGCAGCCGC
Molecule: ribosomal RNA, 459 nt
Filed under: uncultured bacterium
Lineage: Bacteria
Description: SSU rRNA
Rfam family: Bacterial small subunit ribosomal RNA
Source: RNAcentral